CCCUGUACGUGUGGUAUCCCCAGCUGUCUCCCUGUUUCUCCAAGUGCCAACCACUCCACAGAUUCAGCUCUUCCCGUGGAGAAAAUCAUGGAGCCCCCGGUUCCGGCCCAGACACUUAGUGUAAUAAUGGCGUUGCUUCUUACAGGUGGUGAUAAAAGGGGGCUGUAAAUAGCUGGUUAAAUGGAUGCAAAUGUACACAAUGUACGGUAGAAUUACCGGGUGCCGCACUGGGCAUCUGCCAAGAACAGCUACUGCCACGGGAAGAGGGACCAGGAGGGAGCAAAGAAAGUUGUUCCAUUUUGUUUCUGAACAACGAAUGAGACUGGGGAUUCAAAGUACUUUCAAGUAUCCGGGAGACCACGCCUUGCUUUUGGCUCUGUGCUUAAAAACCAGGAACUAGCCAUGUAACUGGACAAUUAAGCUCUCUGGACCUUAGUUUUCCCUUCUGCAAGCAAGGAAGUUGGGCUACACACAUUCUAAGGUCAAAUCUUCUCUGUCCACCUUCCCUGGGAAAAAGCUAAAUGGAGCACCAAGAGCCAGAAGGGUUUGCACAGAAGAAAAGAAAGGGGAAGAAGCUCUGGCAACUCUGACUGAAUAUCUGAGUCCCAAGUCAUCUCAACUUAAGGGCACUGGGAUCUGGGGGCCAGGAAGGGGCCUUAUUUUCCUUUGGGAAGACAGGCGUGGGCCUCAGGAGAAGCAAAGUCCUUGUAUUCUGAAUCACUGAGUCACUAAUCAAGUGGCUAACUGUGUUAGCGACAUCUGCAGAAGCGGGAGGGAGAGGCAGGGAGAGGAGCAGCAGGAAGGAGAAGGAAGUGGGGGAGGAGACGUGGAUGAAAGGGAAGCAUUUACAGCAUGUGGAGCAUGAUGAAGAGCAACUUGAACGUCAAGGGCACCAAAUGAAGGUCUGGGAGCCCAGGAAGGGAGGGAGCAAAUUCAUUCUGCUGGAAAUAGACAUGACUGCAGCGGUGAAAAGGACUCAUGGAUUCAGGGUGGCUUGAUUUGAUUAUGGCAACAGGAAGUACAGGAGAGGGCAGAAUAACCUGGCCUGAGGAAGUGAAUUAAAUAAUAGAGAAGACAUCAUAGUUGCCAUGGCAUUAAAACACCUCGCAGCACAUUAAGCUUCCUUUUUUCUCUUUGCUUAAUUCCUGUUCUUGCAACCUGUUAAUGGCAUUGUAGUACAUCCAGUAAACUAAAUUCAGAUGCUCUGGAACAUGGGGAAGGAAGAAUGCAGCCCAGACCUUGUCUAGGUCCACUCUGGGCAAGUAUUCUUCCUCUGUUGUGUGCCUGGUUCUUUUGGUCUUUGCAUCAUGGAAUAUGAAAACCCCUGUCAGGCUUGGGUCUGGUGAAGCUGCUGAGUGAUGUAAUUUGAAAAAAGAGGGAGAGAGGGAGAGAGAGAGAGAGAGAGAGAAAUUGAAAAUAAUUUUCAGAGGCAACUGCUUUAGAAAUUACUUCACAAAAAGCAGUAGGAUGCAAAAAUUUGAAAAAAAUACAACUACCAUCAAAACCAAAUGUGUUUAAGUAUUUUAUCUUAUUGCUUUAAAAAAUUAUUUUCUUGGGCUUUAAUUAAGAUGAUUGCAUCCUGUAGUCAGUCAUAUGCAAAAGCUAACAUUGCAGAGAGUGGCUACUUUGUGUACUCUUUGGCCUUACUUUACACAGAAUGAAUGGAAGAGUUAUUUCCAGCUGACUUAUUUAUCACAAAUAUCACAACAUUCAUCAAGGCUCAGACCCUGACCUUCCUUAAGUGGACUCACAUUAACCAGCCCCCAGAGACUGAUGUACAUACCUGAAUUAUGACCAAAAACCUGGAAUACUCAUCCUAUCAGAAUAAAUGAAAUUAGUUGUGUGGUCCCUAAGAGAAGUACUCCUGACACAAUGUCCUGAAAGCAUGAUGUGCCUCCCGGCCCCACCCAUCCCUCUGUAGAUAACCCUGCCAGUUUCUUAGGCUUUGGGCUUCUUUUGUUGCAUGCUUGUGUCUCUUCAAACCCCACGUAGCAUCCUACACAGCCAAUUAGGCAGAUUUGCACAUAAUCACAUUCUGUUCCUACCUUUCUGCUAUUACAGUCAAGCCAUGUUGAUAUGAAUUUGGGGUAUCUCCAUAUUCUUCAGUCACUGUCUUGGUUUACUGCUGCUGAAUUCUAGUCAAAUCUGUUGUGGGUGCAGAUUUUGCUAGUUUAACUUUCUGAGAGUGAAGUGGUUCCCAGGUUCUUGGAGAAGCACCUCAUUUUUUCUUCAUGGGCUGUCAACAGUGGCCUAACCUUCCUUAGGCUACUGUAUACUUUGGGUAAAGUGACCAAGUUAUUAAGACACAGAUGUCCUGGGCUGUCGUAGAGCUGCCCAUGUUUUUCUGGGUACCAAGCUCAGGGAUAUUUUUCUUCUGUGAGGGAAUAGAGAGGCUGGCCUUGUGCUAUGAUGAGCUAUGAAAUUUCACCUUGAGGUGCAGGUGCCAUCUACUGUAACAUGCCUGGAGAGCAAAGUGUCCUCCUCAUUGCCCCAAAAGGGCUCUGAUUUUAAACUCAAUAUCUAGCAAUGAAAAUAUUCACAUGGCCCUAUUAACUCAAGCCACAAACAAUCAGCAUUGAUCAGUGUUUCUGGGAUACCUGGCAUUGAAAUUACUCCCUCAACCCAUAGGUUGACCACACCCAGAGAAGCUUGGUACAAAGCCAUCCCUUCUCUGCAUGUACUGUGCUGGGGGACCUGCCUUGCAGUCUUCCUGAAUGCUCAGUGUCCUUUUAGGUCAUUUAAGGUCCUAUUGAUCCUCCUUGCUGCGUCUAUAUAUCAAUUCCCAGGAAAAGAUGCUGUGGCCAACAUUUUGGAAUAUCUUUCUGCCAAAUUUAAAAAGCCCAGCUCAAAUGUUCCCAUACUCAAGAUAGAGGACCAUAAAGAAGCAACCCUGUGGGCAGGCCUAGCCCUGUUUCCUUGGAGAACAAUGCUAAUGGAGCAGCCCUGCUGUGGGGGCAGGUCCUCUGCAAGCUUCAGGCAUCUCUUCCCUACUUGGCAUCUGGACAUUCCUCAACCCUGGGCUGAGCAUGGGUUUCCCAUCAGAGCGAGCAGCCUAGUUAUUGCUCAGCUGUGAGGGUGGGGCACCUCUCCCAUAUUACCUGUACUCCUCUUUGGACUACCUCUCCCUCAAAUCUUUACCCAUUCAGGUGUGGCUAAAGGUGGUGAUUUGAAGCAGGCUAAGAUCAUUCUUAGUUGUAUGAGAUACAAGAGCGGGGCAAGUCAAUUUUCUUUUGCCUCCCACCAAUCCUGUAUAAGAUUUGGGUAUUUUGCAAUUAACUUUCCUAUUUCAAAAUAGUUUUAUUGAAAAUUUAUACAGUGGAUUUAUGUUAUUUAUAAGUUCAGUUUCAUCCACUGGUCUAUUUCUCUUGUCAUUUUUUUUCUAGUAUUUGGAAAGCUUUAUCCUGAAUAGAAAAUAAUUUGGUAUCUAUGAUUUUAUUCGUAUCUGAUCGUAAUCCCCCAGACCAUAGUGGUUUAGACAUGCCCAGGAACUCGCAACUAAAACAUGGCUGAAUGGGGCUCAAAUCAAGGCCUACUGGGCCUUCAACCAUACCACACAUCUCGUACAGAGUAAUGAGAACUUUUAGAGGGUGGGCAUGGGAGGACAGGAGAGAAAUGAGAAGAGAAUGACAUUUAGAGACUAUCUACUGUAUCCCAGAAGCUUCAUCCUGUGAUUUCAUUUAAUCCUGGAAAUGACCUUACACACUAUUACCUCCAUUUAUAGAUGAGGAAACCUGAACCUCUGAGUUUAAAUAACUUGAUCACUUGCCUGAGGUCACAUAACUAGUGGUAGUGGGCCUGGAGCCAUAGCUGCCCAAACCAUGAAGAAGCACAUACAGAGGCAAGGGAAAUAACAAAAUCAUGGUGGAGAAGCAGUUCUAAAAGAUGUCUGAGUAAAGGAAAGUUCUGAGGAAGCUCUAUGUCAAAUUUCAUGGUGCCACACAAGCUGGAUUUGUGAAGGACAAAACCGCAAGAGCAUAUACAUAGCUGACCUCAGAUGGCAGAGAGCUUUGAAUUUAUCUCUGGAGUACACUCAUAUGGAGGUGUCCCAAGUGAUCCCCCUUAUUUGAGAUGAUGUACUACUUGGGCUCAAGUUGUUCAGUUUGCUUUUCUGGCUAUGAUGGCUGAGGUGGAGGGCAGAAAUUUCUGUUGGUACCCAGCAGAAUGCUGGCUGUGGAGGUGUCUGGGGGACAUGUGCAGGCAGAUCACCAGGACGUGUUCUCUGCCAGUGAGGGACCCAUCCAAACAGGCCCAGCAGAGCAGGUGGCUGGAUAUGGCCAUCAUGAGAGCCAUUUACAUCUGACAGAUGACUUUUGAGCUGUGGGCAUAGAAGAGGACAGAAAAAUACUCCUUGGAGAACUUCAUUAAAUUUUUUAAGAAAUCUGAUCUUAAGCUACAAUUCUUAAGCCACCAGUUACUUUAUUACUUGUAGAAGAAAAACACUCAUUGUAGAGAUGUUAGAAAGAUAAAGUAUCAGAAAGAAGAAAGUAAAACUCAAUUGAAACCCUAACAAGCAGCAGUAAUCUCUCUAAAGAAUGUGGUAUAUGUCCUUUCAGACACUUCAAAAUAUAUAAGGGUAGACAAAAUGGUCUUAUAGGCUAUAUAAUAUUCUGUAAUUUUUCGAUUAACUCCAUUCUUAAAAAUUUAUAUUAGUUAACUACCCAAUAGUAUAUUGUUUCUAUGUAUUACAGUUCAACAUUUUUUUCCUACUGUCAUUCAAGAUGGAUUUGUAGACAGUAUUCUUAGAACUAGUAAUAAAAAUGUAAGAAAUCUGUAUUCUAGGAAUUAUGUAUAGAAAAGCAGUCAUAGGCUUUAGAGGACAGUAGAUAACAUAUUUGCAAAGCACAACAUUUGGAAAAAUACACCAAAAUGUUAAGGCAGGGUAAUAUGAUCUCAAGUUAUUUAAUUUUUUCUGUUUGCUCACUUAAAAAAGUUUUCCUAUAAUGACUAUUAUUAACGUGUACCAUCAUGAAGGGAGAUUAUUUUUUAGAAAACCCUUCCAGCUAGAGGCAAGUUUCUUUACUUUUCUAGGCUUUAUUUCCUUUAUGUGUAAUAUGGAUAUUCUCAUAAUUACGACUCCAUAGAGUGGUUGUGAGCAUUAAUCAAUAUCAUGCAGGUAACACACUUUAAGAAGUUUCAGACACAUGUUAAGUGCACAGUACCUAAUGGACACCACUGUCCUGACUGUCAUUAUAUUGAUUAAUGCUUCUGCUUCUACUCUUGCCCUCUCAUGGAGUAGGAGAGUAGCCUUUCAAGUCAGAUCACACAAGCCAUUGCCCUGCUUAAAGCCUUCCAGUGUUGUCCUUGCCCUUAGGAGCAGAUGCAGACAUCUUCCCCAGGCUACAAAGCCCUCAUAAUCUGGUCCCAUGCCACCUCUGCAAGCAAUGCUCACAUCCCCUUCCUUCCUUCUCAGAUGCUGCACUCCAGCCACACUGACCCUUUUGUUCCUGGAAUAAAGUAGAACUCUGUCCUACGUCAGGGCAUUUGCACACACUGCUCCCUUGACUUGGAAUUCUCUUGCCUGUAUCUUCUUAUAGCUGGGUUUCUGUCUUAGUAGAAAAGUCCCAUCUCAGGGAGGCCUCCUUCGGCCAUCCAACCAAAAGGAGCUCCACAGCCACACGUCUGCUUAAUACUUGCCCGGGUUAAUUUUCAUCCCAGUAUUUGUCCCUACUUUUCAUGUUUUGUGUAUUUGUUUUAUUCUGUUACCUAGUGUCAGUCUCCCCAUAGACCUAGUUUGUUUUGCCUGUUUUCGCUGGAAUACCUAGAACAGGGCCCAGCACAUGGACAGAGGUGUUUAGUAGACUGUUGCUGAAGGAUUUAAUUAAUUAAGUAGAUUAUCUUUGUCAAGUGAAUGAACACUUUAAUCACUUCCUAUCACCUUCUCCUCAGCGGGCUGCUGUUUUCCUGAAGAGGAAAAGGCAAUCACAGCACUUUAUUUCUACACUUCCCCUCCCAGUUAAAAAGAGGAUGAUUUAAAAAAAAUCAAAACAGUCUGUUUCUCAGAAUACCCCCCAUGUGGCCAGAUUCAUAGUUUUCCAUUCUAGAUUGAGACAUAUUUUAAAAUACAGGCUGCCCCGAUUUGAAAAGAGUACUGGUAGCCUUUAACUCUUGAUACAGGAGGCCAGACAGGCAAGUCCCCGCUCUACAAAGAGGUCAUGCUCCCCAUGUUUGUUUCCAACACAGAAAGCAUUUUCACUGGAAACAAUGUUCCCAGAGUAGUCCACAAAAAACCUAUUUAACCCACAAUGUUCGGUAGAAAAAAAUAUGUUGAAAUUCCAGGAAACAAAGCAGGGAAAAUGAAUGAGAAGUACAGUUUAAAUGUCUAUCUUGAAUACUAGUUAGUGCUUGAGGAAAAGCAGCUGCCAUCAGAGGGAGAUGAGGAAGGAGGGCCAGGGGUGUGGCAGACUCUGAGAGCAGGGUAGAAGCUGUCAUGGCCUGCCUCAGUUUUGCAUCUGCUGGGCUGAGGCUUCAGAAAAAGUCAUGCCACUCAUGACUGAUUGGGCAGGUCUGUGCCUGUCUGAAGGCACAUUCCUGCAGAUCUACAUGCAGCAGAGAGGGGUUGGGGGGCGGUGCUGAUGUCAACACCUCCACGCAUUGAAUUCUAGAGGCUAGAAUCAACAUGGGGGAGAGAAUUCAUCGGCAAAACCUAGGUCCAAGCACAUCAUAACUAAUUGGUGGCUCAAAAGCUUCCUCAGGGAUUUCCUGCUUAUCUAAGUAUAAACAUGAAAAUACAACUUAAAAAAUAAUAGGUUCAGUUUUGGUUUCAUCCCUGAAAAUAAUCAUUUCAUCACUGAAAUUACCACUAGGUAGUUUCAGGCAUUUCCACCCACAUAUCUGGUCUUUGUGGCAUUAUUUUGAAGCCAAAGCUUUUAUUGCCUCCAAGUCAGGCCUCACAGAGCAGAGAGGUCUCCUUAUAUAGGAGCUCUUCUAAAAUUUUUUGUUAUUUUAAUAAGAAACUGUUCUCUGUACCCUGAAACAAUUUCAAUUAGCCCUAAUUUGGGGAGCUUGAACAGAGGGUCUCCUCAUAGAAUUGGUAAAGAAGGAGGCAAAGAGAUUUAACAGAUGGUUUAUUAUUAUUUCUUGAAGGAGGACCUCACAAUUGUUAAGUGUUAUAUAUAUACCAUUGUAAAUGAACUCUUAAAGAUCACUUAAAAGCAAUAGAGGUAAAUAGUUAUACUUGUAGCCAUGAUGAAUCUGAAUUAAGUGGACAAAUACAAAAUGAGAUAGCACUUCCAAUGACAGUGUCUGGUACGGACUUUAAAGUGCUUUAGGCAGGAGAAGAAUGUGCUCUGGAAAACUGUGUUAGAUGAUCCCCAAAAGGCCCCAGUGAUGUUGAAAAUGUUUAUGAAGAGUCUGAAUAAUAUUGUGUUAUAUAAUGUGAGAUUGGAUUGCAAUGUUUCUGAAUUAAGAUAUUUUGUAUAUAAUGUGAGAUUUAAAUAUAUGCUCAACCAAAUUAAUAUAUUAAA
Manis javanica (Malayan pangolin) is the source of this 7463-nucleotide long non-coding RNA. RefSeq lists it as uncharacterized. The record is from RefSeq and is a predicted model, not a curated record. Lineage: Eukaryota; Metazoa; Chordata; Mammalia; Pholidota; Manidae.